UUCACUCUACGGGGCGCAGCAGUGGGGGAUAUUGCACAAUGGGGGGAACCCUGAUGCAGCGACGCCGCGUGGGUGAAGGAGCGUUUCGGCGCGUAAAGCCCUCUCGGCAGGGAAGAAGGAGGACGGUACCUGACUAAGAAGCCCCGGCUAACUACGUGCCAGCAGCCGCGGUAAUACGUAGGGGGCAAGCGUUAUCCGGAUUUACUGGGUGUAAAGGGGGCGCAGACGGCAGCGCAAGCCAGGAGUGAAAGCCCGGGGCCCAACCCCGGGACUGCUCUUGGAACUGCGCG
This 290-nucleotide ribosomal RNA is filed under the name uncultured bacterium. RNAcentral describes it as "partial 16S ribosomal RNA". It matches the Rfam family "Bacterial small subunit ribosomal RNA", at positions 333 to 639 of the family's 1533-position model. The record is from RNAcentral.